GACGAACGCUGGCGGCGUGCUUAACACAUGCAAGUCGAACGGAAAGGCCCUGCUUUUGUUGGUUUCUCGAGUGGCGAACGGGUGAGUAACACGUGAGUAACCUGCCCUUGACUUUGGGAUAACUUCAGGAAACUGGGGCUAAUACCGGAUAUGAGCUCCUGCUGCGUGGUGGUGGUUGGAAAGUUUCGGCUGUUGGGGAUGGACUCGCGGCUUAUCAGCUUGUUGGUGAGGUAGUGGCUUACCAAGGCUUUGACGGGUAGGCGGCCUGAGAGGUUGAACAGCGACAAUAGGACUACGGUAGGCACCAGUAUCCUACGGGAGGCAGCAGUGGGGAAUAUUGCGCAAUGGGGGCAAGCGUGAUGCAGAAGCGCCGGGUGCGUAAUGACGGCCUUCGGGUUGUAAACAGAUUUCGCCUGUGACGAAGAGUGAUUGACGGUAAUGGGUAAAAAAGCACCGGCUAACUACGUG
RNAcentral lists this ribosomal RNA (468 nucleotides) under uncultured bacterium. RNAcentral describes it as "partial 16S ribosomal RNA". It matches the Rfam family "Bacterial small subunit ribosomal RNA", at positions 28 to 507 of the family's 1533-position model. The record is from RNAcentral.